This 497-nucleotide ribosomal RNA is filed under the name uncultured bacterium. Its description in RNAcentral is "partial 16S ribosomal RNA". It matches the Rfam family "Bacterial small subunit ribosomal RNA", at positions 28 to 507 of the family's 1533-position model. The record is from RNAcentral.
GAUGAACGCUGGCGGCGUGCCUAAUACAUGCAAGUCGAGCGAACGGACGAGAAGCUUGCUUCUCUGAUGUUAGCGGCGGACGUGUGAGUAACACGUGGAUAACCUACCUAUAAGACUGGGAUAACUUCGGGAAACCGGAGCUAAUCCCGGAUAAUAUUUUGAACCGCAUGGUUCAAAAGUGAAAGACGGUCUUUCUGUCACUUCUAGAUGGAUCCGCGCUGCAUUAGCUAGUUGGUAAGGUAACGGCUUACCAAGGCAAGGAUGCGUAACCGACCUGAGGGGGUGGUCGGCCACACGGGAACUGAGACACGGUCCAGACUACUACGGGAGGCAGCAGUAGGGUAUCGGCCGCAAUGGGCGGAAGCCUGGCGGAGCAACGCCGCGUGAGUUAUGAAGGUCUUCGGAUCGUAAAACUCUGUUAUUAGGGAAGAACAGAUGUGUAAGUAACUGUGCACAGCGUGACGGUAACGAAUAAGAAAGCCACGGCUAACUACGUG